RNAcentral lists this ribosomal RNA (270 nucleotides) under Triticum aestivum (bread wheat). RNAcentral's name for it is "partial small subunit ribosomal RNA". Lineage: Eukaryota; Viridiplantae; Streptophyta; Magnoliopsida; Poales; Poaceae. The record is from RNAcentral.
AUGACUCACAUCAAUACCGUUGUUUGGACGACCAAGGUCUCAGUGUGGGAAUGGUCGACUGGAAAUGUUCAUAUUCGUAGUGAAUCUCCUAAGGCGCUUGCUUCGUUGAUGAUGCUCAUCUCUUGGGAGUUUUGGUCGGAGUGUAAUGCUAGAAUCUUUCGCAACACGGUUGUCCCUUCUGUUGUCCUUAUUAGCAAGACUAAAGAGGAGUUGUCGCUGUGGGCUUUGGCGAGCGCCAAGCACUUGAGUAUUGUAAUGCCGCGAGAGUAG